UACGUAGGGUGCGAGCGUUAAUCGGAAUUACUGGGCGUAAAGCGUGCGCAGGCGGCUUGAAAAGUCUGAUGUGAAAUCCCCGGGCUCAACCUGGGAACUGCGUUGGAAACUCUCAAGCUAGAGUAUGUCAGAGGGGGGUAGAAUUCCACGUGUAGCAGUGAAAUGCGUAGAGAUGUGGAGGAAUACCGAUGGCGAAGGCAGCCCCCUGGGAUAAUACUGACGCUCAUGCACGAAAGCGUGGGGAG
This 245-nucleotide ribosomal RNA is filed under the name uncultured bacterium. RNAcentral's name for it is "partial 16S ribosomal RNA". It matches the Rfam family "Bacterial small subunit ribosomal RNA", at positions 524 to 768 of the family's 1533-position model. The record is from RNAcentral.